GCUCAGGACGAACGCUGGCGGCGUGCUUAACACAUGCAAGUCGAACGAUGAAACCGCUUCGGUGGUGGAUUAGUGGCGAACGGGUGAGUAACACGUGGGCAAUCUGCCCUUCACUCUGGGACAAGCCCUGGAAACGGGGUCUAAUACCGGAUAACACUCCUGCCUGCAUGGGUGGGGGUUGAAAGCUCCGGCGGUGAAGGAUGAGCCCGCGGCCUAUCAGCUUGUUGGUGGGGUAAUGGCCUACCAAGGCGACGACGGGUAGCCGGCCUGAGAGGGCGACCGGCCACACUGGGACUGAGACACGGCCCAGACUCCUACGGGAGGCAGCAGUGGGGAAUAUUGCACAAUGGGCGAAAGCCUGAUGCAGCGACGCCGCGUGAGGGAUGACGGCCUUCGGGUUGUAAACCUCUUUCAGCAGGGAAGAAGCGCAAGUGACGGUACCUGCAGAAGAAGCGCCGGCUAACUACGUGCCAGCAGCCGCGGUAAUACGUAGGGCGCAAGCGUUGUCCGGAAUUAUUGGGCGUAAAGAGCUCGUAGGCGGCUUGUCACGUCGGAUGUGAAAGCCCGGGGCUUAACCCCGGGUCUGCAUUCGAUACGGGCUAGCUAGAGUGUGGUAGGGGAGAUCGGAAUUCCUGGUGUAGCGGUGAAAUGCGCAGAUAUCAGGAGGAACACCGGUGGCGAAGGCGGAUCUCUGGGCCAUUACUGACGCUGAGGAGCGAAAGCGUGGGGAGCGAACAGGAUUAGAUACCCUGGUAGUCCACGCCGUAAACGUUGGGAACUA
Molecule: ribosomal RNA, 781 nt
Filed under: Streptomyces griseobrunneus
Lineage: Bacteria; Bacillati; Actinomycetota; Actinomycetes; Kitasatosporales; Streptomycetaceae
Description: bacterial SSU rRNA
Rfam family: Bacterial small subunit ribosomal RNA
Source: RNAcentral